Molecule: long non-coding RNA, 3752 nt
Organism: Sciurus carolinensis (gray squirrel)
Lineage: Eukaryota; Metazoa; Chordata; Mammalia; Rodentia; Sciuridae
Exons: 3
Source: RefSeq, a predicted model, not a curated record
GGGGCCAGGCCGCUGACGUAAUUCUUGAUCUGUGACCGCCCGGUAGCGCACCCGGGUGCCGCCCACGCACCCAGCGUCAUUCUCUCCUCCCGGAUUAGAUUUUAAGCUCCAGCACCAGAAUCUUGGAAUCCAGGGAGGACAGAUGGGGGGCGGGGAGCGACUUCCGCCCUGUCAUCUCCUGAAAAUGCUCCCGGGGUCAUUUAUGGGAAAAGUAAAAUCCUUAGGAAUCUAUGAGGAAGCAGGAUAGGGAAGUGGGUGAAGAGGGGCCACGUCCCAGCCCUUCCAUCCCGGCGACUCGCUCCUUUCGCCCCCGCUCCAGGAGCUUCAGACUCUUCCCCCUCCCACUCCUGGGCAGCGGCGAGGAGCCCGUGGUCCAGCAGGCUCGGCCAUGUGGCGAAGUUGCCAGCCCUGGGUCGGCAAGGGCCCAGCCGGUCUUUCUGCACGUAGCUCUGGUGUGGAGGCAGAAGUCUCCAACAGCCACUGGCAAGCAGGACCCCUGAGAGCCCCGUCUGACGGUCCCUGUGGCCCCUCCAUCUCCUCUACGUGACCCCAUCCGUAUAACCCUUGCCAGGCUCCUGUGAUCAAGAGCCAAGGUCGCUAUGCUCAUUUUACAGAUGAGGAAACCGAGUCUCAGAGCCGUUGAGCUGGGCAGAUGACUGGAGAGUGAGUGGAGAGCGCAGAGGGCAGAAACAGGUCUCACUGAGUUGCUCAGGGCCUCCUUAAGUUGCUGAGGGUGGCUUUGAACCCACCAUCCUCCUGUCUGCGUGCACCAUCACCCAGCUAGACGAUGCAAUCUUGCUUCCUGCGCUCUCCACACCGAGGACGGCUCAGAAUCACCAUCUUGCACCCUGUGCCUUCAGCCCUGUAAGCAUGUCCCUUCGACUUCAGGCAUUUGGAGUGGCUGAGAGACCCCCACAGAAGUCUUUGUUACGUGCAUGUUAAAUAGGAUUUUGGCUAUUUGGAAAUAGGGUCUUUGCAGAUGUCGUUGAGUUACGGAUCUUAAGAUAAGCUCAUCCUGGAUUUCGGAUGGGCCCUACAUCCAGGGACAGAUCUCCUUGUAAGAGAAAAGAAGGACCUUCCAGACAUGGAGAUGUGCAGGGAAGAGGCGUGUGAGGAGGAGGCAGAGACCGGGUCUUGGCACCCUCCCCCACACCACGGCCCCCUCCUGGGCCGGCAGGAACUUUCCACCCGACUCCCGCUGUCCACGGAAGCAGGCCUCCUGAGCUGGGCAGGAUGAGUGGGGCCCACCAGUGAGGAGGGCCUCGGGCUGCCCCGAGGGCUCACAGGUGGGAACUGUACAGGGGGAGGGAGCCCAGGAGGCCGGGAGCCUGGAGACAGAAGUGAGGGCACCAAGGGACCAAGGCUCUGUCCCUGGCUGGAAGGCUAACAUCUCCUCAGCUUUAGAGGGACAGCAAGGCGGCUUCCCGCGCACAGAGCCACACACCCACGGGUGCGGAGUGGGGGCGGCCAGGGCAGCAGGCAGUGCCGUGGAGCGGCCUCUGCGCAUGCGCACUGCUGAGCUGUGGGGCUGGAGAACCCACCUCACGGAGGGUCUGCUUUUCAGUUCCAAGGUUCCUGGAGCUCCUGAGACCCACCCCUUCCCUUCCUAGAUCCCUAGGACCCCCCAAGCCCACCACUGCCACUCACUUGAAUUGUGGGAUGUCCCUGCACAGCUCCACGUUGGGCCGCCGCGUGCGGCACGCCAGCCUGGUCUGUGCCACCUUCAGCGGGCACUCCUUGGCCACGAUGGCCCUCUCCAGCAGCAUGAUGGUGUUCUCAGCCUGGAAGAUCUCCUGCAGCGUCUGUGGGGACCACGAGGCAGUCACCACCAGGACUCUCUGGCCUCCUCCCACUUCGGGCCUGGCAGGAGCUGAGGCCAACUCAGGCAGCCUCUGGCCAGGGCUUGAUUACUCUCCCCCGCCCCUGAGCCCUGUGAAGCACUGGGGAGCAGUUUCAGGCUCCCUGACCACCACAGCCCACUGCUGGAGAUGAGCCAGGCCAAGGCUGCUCUCCUCUUAAUCUCCAGAAUCUACGGUGCAGCCAAUUAGUGUUCAGUGGGAAGACAGGGAAGGGAGGGGGCGUGAAGGUUAACGUGGAGCCUCCAGAACAGCAGCUGAUCUCCAAAACCGUCUUCAUCUGAAUCCGCGUGGGCUGCUCUGUAUCUUUUUACGAUCCAGAACUUACUUUCCUAGUAACUAGGUCAGUAAGUGAAGAAGAAAGAGACACAAUUUUCAACUUAUCCGUAGAGACAUUUUGUCCACUAAAAUGCCACCAUUGUCCUACAGUUGGUAGAAGUACAGAUCCAGGCAGGGGUGGAGAGCUCCGAGUCCUGCUCUGAGCGGAGGUUUUACAGGUACAAACCCAGGAAGAACUAACUCGUCAGCUGGGUUCGUCAGGCUGUGCACUUGAUAAUAAGCCUGCUGCGCCUCCACAGAAAAUAGCACGAAAAUCAGAAAGCGGUCAGUCACGAGGAAAGCCUGGACACCUGUGUUGGGCACAUGGGAGUCUUCUGAUUCUCUCUGCUUCUGUGUGUAGGAAAGUGUCCAUAAUAAAGAACAGAAUGAGAGCGCCAACAGAGACUGGGCACACCAGGAUGGCCCAUUACCAGAAGGACCCGACCUUGAACUUGGCCCACCGUAAGCAUACCAGGGAUGGAGCCAACGGCACUGAACGGAGGUCACACCCUGCUGUCACCCAGUGGCCCCAGAUCUGAGAGUAGCUAUGUGUUUCUGGGAGUCCCUCUCCUGCAAGGAGGCUCUUUGUGGGAGGGUUGUGCUGGUAGGACCCCCAUGGUGAGGACACGUGUCCACUCCCGACAGGCCUAGAGGUGACCCUGCCAUGAUGGCCCCAAAGCCCAGAAGGGUGUGCUGACAUUAUCCAUCGCCACAGAGCUCGGUUUCACUUGACCCAGAGAUUCAAUACCAUUUAAGAAGCCCACUCACCAGCUCUACCAGUAACUGCUCAGGGGGGUCACUGCUUGAGACCAGCCUGCCCUUCUGUGGGGGGCAUUCGCUUUGUGUGCCGCCAUCUUAAAACCCAACUAUGUUUGCUGUGUGCCGCCAUCUUGAAACCAGACAACAGCUAGAAAUGUCUUUUCUGCAUCUACUGUGAGUAUAAUAAAUGAGGAGUGUAAAUUCAAAGAAACAGUGAUUGCAAACUAGUAGGAAAUUCCCAUCAUCAAAACCAUGGAGGUCUGAGGAGAGAGAUAGGGAGGCCUGAGGAUGAGAAAAGAUCACUGACAUCGGAGAGCCAGUGAAAUUCAGGACACCCAGUCAAGUUUGAAUUUCAGAUAAACAACUGAGCACUCCUGAGUGUGUGUGUCCCACAGUGAACUGAUGGAGUGUGUUCUCUCAAGCUUUACACACUGGAACCCUAAUUCCAACGUGUUGGCAUUUGGAGAUGGAGCAUUCGGGAAGUGAUUAGGUCGUGAGAAUGGCGUCCUAUGAACAGGGUGGUGCCUUGUAGCAGGGCAGAGAGACACCUCCAUCUCUUCCACCACAAGAAGCCAGCAGUUUGCAGUCUAGAGGUCAGCCCCCCCAGCACCGGGCUGUGCUGAUACCCCGAUGGUGGACUUGGAGCUUCCAGAACUGCCGGAAAUAAAUGUCAUCGUUUAUAAGCCACCUCGUCUGGGGUACCUUAGUUAUAAAACCCCAACAGACUCAUCUCCCAUCGCAGGAGAUACACUGACACUCAAAAUGAUUUACUGUUGAUCUGAUAUUGAGGUUUAACUGAGUGUCCUGCAUUUUUAUUUG